UGGGGAAUUUUGGACAAUGGGCGAAAGCCUGAUCCAGCAAUGCCGCGUGUGUGAAGAAGGCCUUCGGGUUGUAAAGCACUUUUGUCCGGAAAGAAAUCCUUGGCUCUAAUACAGUCGGGGGAUGACGGUACCGGAAGAAUAAGCACCGGCUAACUACGUGCCAGCAGCCGCGGUAAUACGUAGGGUGCAAGCGUUAAUCGGAAUUACUGGGCGUAAAGCGUGCGCAGGCGGUUUGCUAAGACCGAUGUGAAAUCCCCGGGCUCAACCUGGGAACUGCAUUGCUGACUGGCAGGCUAGAGUAUGGCAGAGGGGGGUAGAAUUCCACGUGUAGCAGUGAAAUGCGUAGAGAUGUGGAGGAAUACCGAUGGCGAAGGCAGCCCCCUGGGCCAAUACUGACGCUCAUGCACGAAAGCGUGGGGAGCAAACAGGAUUAGAUACCCUGGUAGUCCACGCCCUAAACGAUGUCAACUAGUUGUUGGGGAUUCAUUUCCUUAGUAACGUAGCUAACGCGUGAAGUUGACCGCCUGGGGAGUACGGUCGCAAGAUUAAAACUUAAAUGAAUUGACGGGGUCAUAGCUGUUUCCU
This 585-nucleotide ribosomal RNA is filed under the name uncultured bacterium. Its description in RNAcentral is "partial 16S ribosomal RNA". It matches the Rfam family "Bacterial small subunit ribosomal RNA", at positions 355 to 1375 of the family's 1533-position model. The record is from RNAcentral.